AACGAACGCUGGCGGCAUGCCUAACACAUGCAGGUCGAACGAGACCUUCGGGUCUAGUGGCGCACGGGUGCGUAACGCGUGGGAACCUGCCCUUAGGUUCGGAAUAACUCCCCGACAGGGGUGCUAAUACCGGAUAAUGUCUUCGGACCAAAGAUUUAUCGCCUUUGGAUGGGCCCGCGUUGGAUUAGCUAGUUGGUAGGGUAAAAGCCUACCAAGGCGACGAUCCAUAGCUGGUCUGAGAGGAUGAUCAGCCACACUGGGACUGAGACACGGCCCAGACUCCUACGGGAGGCAGCAGUGGGGAAUAUUGGACAAUGGGCGAAAGCCUGAUCCAGCAAUGCCGCGUGAGUGAUGAAGGCCUUAGGGUUGUAAAGCUCUUUUACCCGGGAUGAUAAUGACAGUACCGGGAGAAUAAGCUCCGGCUAACUCCGUG
This 433-nucleotide ribosomal RNA is filed under the name uncultured bacterium. RNAcentral's name for it is "partial 16S ribosomal RNA". It matches the Rfam family "Bacterial small subunit ribosomal RNA", at positions 29 to 507 of the family's 1533-position model. The record is from RNAcentral.